Molecule: long non-coding RNA, 2575 nt
Filed under: Trifolium pratense (red clover)
Lineage: Eukaryota; Viridiplantae; Streptophyta; Magnoliopsida; Fabales; Fabaceae
Description: long non-coding RNA (TPRA_LNC010470)
Source: RNAcentral
AGCACUCUUUCUCCAUAGUUCGACGACGCCGUAGUUCCGAAUCUUCCGAUCCAUAGCUGUCGUUCCUCUCGUCGCCACCGUAGCUCCUCUUCAACACAGGUUUCACUGCUCUCUCUUCCUCUCUCUCUUCCUCUCUCUCUAUCUCCGACUAUUCUCUUGUUAAAUUGUUGUUAACUUGAUUAUGAUGAUUUGAGUGAUAAUAAUUUUUUAAUUUCUUGGAUUCUUUACAGUUUGAUUUUAGGGUUUUUGAGUUUAGUGGUUUAAUUUCUUAGAUUCUUUUACAGUUUAAUUGUUAGGGUUUUAAUAGUUUGUUAAUUCUCUUGGAUUUCAUAUCUUUCUUGGAUUUCAUAUAUGUGUUGUCAGUAGAUUUGGUUCGUUGUACAGAUCAAAAAGAAAGAGGUGUUGGUGUUGAAUUUAUGUACAGGAAGAGCUGCUAAAUCCAUUCUAUUAUCUGGUCUUGCACAGGAAAUUGUUACUGCUUCUGGGCGACACCAGAGCAAAGUUGUCAUGUUGUGUGGGUAGGUAGUUAUAACAUGGUAAAGGGGUAGCUUUUGAGGUGUGGAAUUAUCUAACCUGUUUGUGUAAUUGGAGCUACAUUGUAUUUGACUUAUUUCUUGGCAUGCCUUAUGCCUUAUUUAAUAUAACCUCUUGGCCUACAUCACUCAGAAUUGGAUUUGGUUGCAUACCAAAUUAUUAGUUUAAUUUGUUUAUUUUUGAAAUUAUCUAUUAGCAUUUGGCAUAAACACUUGUGAGACUCACUACAAAAAUAUUGUAGGCAUAUAUAGAUAAAGGAAACUUGUAAAAGAUAUGAAGAUAGCUACUUUCAAGUGAUUGGAUUUAUAUCAGCAGGGACCUAGAUAAACAUAAAGCUAACAAAAGCUGUCUUUUAUGAUGCAGCUGAAGCAGAAGUCCACACCUGACAAUGUUGAAUUUUCCAUUAUGCUUGAGAAGUUGCAAGAUACUUUGAGGAGUUUGGAAUCAUUCCAAAUGAAAAAUGCUGAACAUGUAUUUAACACAGGUACCUUGCCUUUGGCUUGAAUGGCUUAUGUUUGAUAGAUAAUACAAAGCUUCUAAUUGCCUGUGUUUUAUUUUCAGUUUGUUGUGGAAAAGUUCAUUUACCUUGCAACUACUGAUCUCCUUGUUUAUUAUACAUAUAAAACAUAAAAUCUCACAUGCAUGCCUCACCCCUCUUAUUUUCUUUUACUUUUUAAAUGGAUUUUCGAUUUUGUGCUGUUAUUAUUGAAUACAUGUUCUCCAAUAAUGCAGUGAAGAAGAAAUUGAACAUGCUGAAAUAGGACAACUAUGGUAAGGUUUAUUUGAGAGUUACAUUGACUUAUUCACACAUUUAAUUGCCUUUGAAUUGAGAUGACUGUUUGAUGCUAAAAUAAUUAUUACAUUUGUUAUUAAGGAAGUAGAAAUGUCGUAAUUAAUCUUUGGUGGUACUUCAUUUUCAUGUCAGGAAUAUAUGUAGUAAAACGCAAAUUUGGACUGUCAUGUUAUGUCUGCUCGAUCUUUGUUUACGUGGCCAACACAUAUUCUUUUGGUAUGGUUUCAGUGAACCUUGUGCUUGACCACUCGAGUUUUUUUUAUAUGUUUUUCCAUAAUGAAAACUAUCAUAAAUCUUUUGGUUUUUCCUUAGGUUCUCUCCAAGUCAGGACUGCAAUUCCUUGCUCUGCUGCCUACACUAAUGCCUAAUUGAGGGUCAUUGCUGAGUGUGGUAAUUGGUAGGAUGACAAAUUUUGUAAACUCAUGUCGCUGUUUGCUAUAAUUAUUAUCAUUUUGUUGUAGAUUCUUGUAGUUUUUAUUCUUUUUAUUGUCUGUUUUUAGUGAUUGUUGUCCUUAAUUUCUGCUGCAUAAAACAUGUACUAGAGGACUUGAAUUUGCAUGUUUUGAAGCAUUAGUUUUUCAGUGGUUGGCUGGUUUCCGAAGGAAUUGAUGAUUGGCUAUCAAGAAAUAUAGAUAUUAGUUUAUGUAUAAAGCUCAUGUGGAGUAUUCGUUUUAUUNNNNNUAGUAGUUGGAUUUAUUUUCUGUUCAGUUUGGUUUUUAGGUGUUAGUUUGUUCUUGAGAUCGUUUUGUUCUUGAUUCGAUGCUGUUAAUUCCAGGAUUUAUGUAUGUAUAAUUAUAUAAUGACUAUGCACCUCAUCUACAACCUGUGUAGGAGAUGCAUGGAGGAUGAAGUUGGAUGCGUUUGGAGCAAUUAUGCAGGAAAUUCUGAAUUCUUAAACUAAAUUUGUUAAUCGGAUGCAUUCAAUAAUGAAUGAGGUAAGUUUUAACCGUAGAUUCUUUAUGUGACGCUAAUUAUUUCAAUACGAAUGUUACAUUUACCAUCGCCUAGCAAUAGUGGUACUGGAAAAGGGGCGCUUCUAACUGUAUCUUGAAAGGUUUAGCAAGUAAUAUAUCUUAUAUAAUUUUGACAUUAAAUUUGAAAUUUAUUUCCCAUGGCCUGUUUCAUUUUUGUUAUACUACUCAUUUAUAUGUUAUGGUUAUAAGUAUGUGUUUAGCCUAGCUCUCAAUGUUACACAUUUUAUUUUUCUUAUUGUCUCGGUUAUAAGUCAGUUUCAUGUUUGUUCUCUUA